GCCUUCGUGGCUCAGUGGUAGAGCGCGCGCUUGGUAAGCGCGAGGUCGCGAGUUCAAUUCUCGCCGAGGGC
This 71-nucleotide transfer RNA is filed under the name Candidatus Woesearchaeota archaeon CG08_land_8_20_14_0_20_43_7. RNAcentral's name for it is "tRNA-Thr". It matches the Rfam family "tRNA". From Rfam's summary of the family: Transfer RNA (tRNA) molecules are approximately 80 nucleotides in length. The record is from RNAcentral. Lineage: Archaea; Nanobdellati; Candidatus Woesearchaeota.